This is a long non-coding RNA of Lotus japonicus, 1385 nucleotides long. RefSeq lists it as uncharacterized. The transcript is spliced from 2 exons. The record is from RefSeq and is a predicted model, not a curated record. NCBI's taxonomy places the organism in Eukaryota, Viridiplantae, Streptophyta, Magnoliopsida, Fabales, Fabaceae.
GCCACUACUCAAUAAUAUUACUUCUUGAAAUUUCAUACUUAUUUAGAUGUUUUCAUUGUAUCUGUAAGCUGUAUUCACUUUUUUGUAUGUUUUUGUGAGGUAUGAAGAAGACUUACUUCGGGGUAAAAAAGAAAAGGGAUAAAAAUUAAAGCCCAGUUUGGAUUGGAUGCCUUAAGUUAUGUUGCCACUAAAAUAAAUAGUUUGUUAUUUGUCAUUGAUAGAAGUAUAUUAGUCUCUUUAUUUGUAUAUACACAAUAAUCACUUUGUAAUACUAUUUCUUUUAUGUGACAAACUAUGCAUAUAAUUUCCAAUUAUCCAUUAUUAUACAUUAGGUGAAAACCGGUUCUCAUUAUAUAAUGUAUACAUGAUAAAAGUGUUGCAUUAGUUUUAUUCAAUUCCUCUGCUGAGAAGAUACUGUGUGAAAUAGUAGGUGGAUAAAGGGCCUUCUUGCAUUACUCUGGUCACGAAAUCUACUAUGGAAGGUGGCAAGGUGAAUAAUGACCACUUGGUUUCUUGAUUGCUAUGUAUGUGAGAUAUGGAGAAGGCUUUCUCUAAAAUUUCUAUUGUUCUAUCUGCAUAAGCUGGGUUGGAAUUGAUCUAAUUUGUUCUGGUGGGAGAUGGGGUAGAGCAUUGUAAGAUUUUUUAUCUUUGCUAGGAGUUAGCUAGCAUGUAUGUUUAGUUUACCUUUCUCUUUGUAUCCUUUCUAUUUCUUUGUAUUGAGAUUGAAAUGCCCUUUUACUUCUAUCUAAUGAAUUUGUCUUAUAAAAAAAAUACAUGAUAAAAUGGUGAAACUUACUUCUUUAUAUAGCCAUAUGAAACUGUAUGAGUAAAUGUCUAUUUAUGCUCCAUUUUAUCCAACACUAAUCGCAUUACGAAUAUAUCUUAUAUUUCAUAUUGCAGGCAUUGCAAGGAGCACUACUCAGCAGUACAUACACUGUACUUGACAAUGCACAAACUGGAUUGAUUGCAGCAUAUUUCUUCUAUAAAGGCCAAAAAAUUGAAGAUUGAAGCAAUCAUUCGGAAAUCAAUGAUCAGGAAGUACCGGGGUGAAAUUGCUUAGGGAAAGGUCUAUAAAAUUAUCUAUUUUGUCUUGGUGACCAAUGGUGGAGUGGGGUUGGCCAACCUCACAUGAAUUCAAGAUACUCUUCAAUGACAGGACAAGGAUAGUCCCUGAUGAAUCUGCUCCUAUUUUUUGUGUACCUAAAUCUUUUAUUGUGGUGAUGAUAACACAGUGUGAUAGUGAAUAAUAAAAAGGCGUGAAGGUGGUUCUAUAACUGGGGGGAUUAACACAUUUGCUAUAUAGAAAUUUUUUUAGAGUCAAACACUUCAUAUUGCACAAUCUUGGAGCUAUUCUUGGUUCCAAGACAAAUGAUUAUAAUUCUUUA